Molecule: long non-coding RNA, 435 nt
Filed under: Ananas comosus (pineapple)
Lineage: Eukaryota; Viridiplantae; Streptophyta; Magnoliopsida; Poales; Bromeliaceae
Description: long non-coding RNA (ACOM_LNC009029)
Source: RNAcentral
UUUUUCUCUUUGUAUUAAUGUAAGUACUAGCAAAAUACCCGCGCCACGCUGCAGAUAUAAACAUAUAUUUAUAAUAAAUUUUAAUUUUUAAUAUUUUUAUAUAAUUUUAUAAGUCUAUUUAUUAAUUAAAUAAAAGUUAUAUAAAAAUAAUUUAAUAGUUAAAUAUAUUUAAAUAAAAGUUAUUAAAAUUGGUAUAUGCGCAAAGUAAAUUUAUACAACAAUUUAUUUUAUAAAGAUUUAUAUGAAAAGGAUUUGAGAUAAAUCUAUCAAAAUAAUUUUUUAAAAAAAUCAAUAAAUAGAAGGAAAAUAAAAUUAUAAAAGAUAUUGUUUAAUAAAAUUAAUAAUAAAAAGAUAAAAAUGAAACCACGUAGCACCAAAUUGAUACACUUUAAACCACAGAGCACUCGAGUGAGAAAGUGCAAAACCAAACCACAA